This 437-nucleotide ribosomal RNA is filed under the name uncultured bacterium. Its description in RNAcentral is "partial 16S ribosomal RNA". It matches the Rfam family "Bacterial small subunit ribosomal RNA", at positions 339 to 795 of the family's 1533-position model. The record is from RNAcentral.
CUACGGCGCUCCAGUGGGGAAUAUUGCACAAUGGGGGAAACCCUGAUGCAGCAACGCCGCGUGGAGGAUGACACAUUUCGGUGCGUAAACUCCUUUUAUAGGUCAAGAUAAUGACGGUAGCCUAUGAAUAAGCUCCGGCUAACUCCGUGCCAGCAGCCGCGGUAAUACGGAGGGCGCAAGCGUUACUCGGAAUCACUGGGCGUAAAGAGCAUGUAGGCGGGUUAAUAAGUCAGAAGUGAAAUCCAAUAGCUCAACUAUUGAACUGCUUUUGAAACUGUUAACCUAGAGUGUGGGAGAGGUAGAUGGAAUUUCUGGUGUAGGGGUAAAAUCCGUAGAGAUCAGAAGGAAUACCGAUUGCGAAGGCGAUCUACUGGAACAUUACUGACGCUGAGAUGCGAAAGCGUGGGGAGCAAACAGGAUUAGAUACCCGGGUAGUC